RNAcentral lists this transfer RNA (73 nucleotides) under Pseudomonadota bacterium. RNAcentral describes it as "tRNA-Ala". It matches the Rfam family "tRNA". Rfam says of the family: Transfer RNA (tRNA) molecules are approximately 80 nucleotides in length. Their secondary structure includes four short double-helical elements and three loops (D, anti-codon, and T loops). Lineage: Bacteria; Pseudomonadati; Pseudomonadota. RNAcentral also lists the same sequence under 5 other names. The record is from RNAcentral.
GGGCCUAUAGCUCAACUGGGAGAGCACCAGAUUUGCAUUCUGGGGGUUAGGAGUUCGAGUCUCCUUAGGUCCA